AUGCCGCCCCCUCCACCCCCCGCCCUCCGGAAGCUUUUACCACGUGGCAGAGCAGGGCUACAAAGCCGGGAGCGGAGGCACGGGGUGGGGGGAGGGGAGGCCGCCUGCGCCCAUCCCCCACCCGCGUGCCCAGCCUCCCCCGUGGGUGCGGGGUCCCGGGGCGCUCUCCGUGGCGGACUUCCUUCUCCAGGUGACCGCUUGGAUUUUGCGCCUCAGCGGCGGUGGCAUUUUAUGGGCCACGAUCUGCUUGGUUUAUGGAGCCGGCAGUGCAGGUGCAGAGUUAUAGGCUCCCGUUCUCACCCUGCAAAUGGACUACAGAGCCAUCUGUCAUCUUCAAGGCUAGGUUUUUUUCCAGCCCAUGAGUCACUUCCAGUCAGAUUCAAAGACAAAAGCCUGCUAAUUGAUCCUACCUCUGGAAAUGUGUCAUUGAUAACAGUGCCAUUUUAGGUCAGCAGUAGACUGCUCAGGGUCCUCCAAGAACCCAAGCUCCAUCUUGUAGCUCUGCCCUGCUCCUACACUCAUGGAGCCCUCCGAGUGCAGACGGUGGACAGGACGAGACUGAGAAGGUCACCCAGGGGCUGCACAGGCCAAGCCAGCCUGACUUUGGUCACGUGGUCACGCCUAACUGCAGAGGUAGCUGGGAAAUGCAGUCUGGCUGUAGCCCGAAAAGAAGCAGAGAGCAUGGACGACACGGAGGGCCCUUGCUGCAGGAACCAAUUCCUUCAUUGAUUCUUAUUUCUCAGAUGCCUAAUAAUUAUUUUUUACAAGUGUGAGGUUAAUAUCUACAGUAUUCAGGAUAUAAGGAACAGUACUUACAGAUUUCCUUUCUAAACCUUGCGGUAUGUAUUUGGACCCCUUGUCUCCCCCCAUCUCCUGGAAAUGACACUUCCGAUUUGCAUUAGUUACUGUGCUUCUGACUAGCACGGAGGAAUACGAGACAUGGCAGCAUGAAAUUCACUGCUACACCAGCUCAAAGGUGUUCUCUGGAAGAAAUUCCUCUUAUAUCUUAAUAUGAGAAAAGGUUAUGCUUCUCUUGAAUUCAUUUCUCUCUGAAUCUCAUGAACUUUUGGAAUCUUAAAAUAGAUUGUACUUCCCACUUGCUUAGGCCGCUAAGAAACUCAGAGCCAGAGUUGGCAUCAUUCUGCAGACACAGAACAGGACUUCCUCGUAUUUCCUUCUGUGUAUAACUUCUACCCAUCUUCAUUAUUUUUCUAUCAAAAACAAAAAAGUUUUCCCUUGACCCUAAUUGUUCUGUUUAUUUUGUAUUUGUAUUUGGUAGCUAGAAAAUUUCCAAGCCAACUGUGGUAUAUAAUGAAUGAAAAUAAAUAAUCUCAUGUACUGUGGAGCACCGUGCAUGAAUUCAAUCAUAUUUGCAAUCUGGGAGCUGUGCUAGAUUCCAUCUCAGUAAUGGGUUCUAUUCAGAAAGACACAUGUGACAGAUACUCCCCAGCUGUCAUGUUCCUUCAGUGCACAGGAAGCCCUGGGAGCAGCUGAUCCUCCAAGCUGAUCUCAGGCCAGUGGCAUUCUUGGUAUUGGCACAAUGUCUAGAGGUGAAGAGGGCUGGGAGUAGUGCGUGUGACAAAACUGCUCCAUUAGCUAGGGCCUUUGCUUACUGAGGAGCCGUGAACACAUGGGACCCGUGGAACUAGUUUAGGAAUCCACCCUGUGUUCAGAUUACAAAUCUACCAGGGCUAAAGAGCUGAGUGAUCUUGAGCAAGACCCUUAACAUCUCUGGGCCCCUCAUGUCUUUAUAUGCAAAAUAAGGGCAUUGGAUUACUGGAUGGAUAAUCCCAUUCUCUUUCAGCAGAAUAGAUCUGUGAUCAAUUUUUCAUAUAAACAACAAUAAUUAAAUUUCAACACUUCAUCCAGGCCUUUUAGAAAUAAAUGACUAUACAAGAUGGAAAUCUAGAGGGCAAUCUACAAAUGGGUAAGCCAGGCUAGUGACAAAUGUAUUCGGGUGCCACCAUGAUGGAAUGGAGUUGCUUCUGUUUCCACUUUGAAUAACAGAAGGUCAGUUUCAAUGUAUGAGUAUGGAGGUAAAAGCUUGUACUAAGGAGCUUCAAAGAGCUCGUGGAAAAAAUGAAAUUAAAAGAUGCAUUUAUUUCUGUUCAAAAAGUUUUAGAAUUCAUGCAUAGUUUUUUUUUUCCAUAGUAUGCAUUUUUCCUUGAACUUUCCGAAGACCCUGCGUUUACACAAGGUGUAUUAAUUGAAUUGGAAUUUGGCUGGGGCACCUGGACAGUUAAUCCAUCUCUUGGCUUCAAGAAUCUGACACUUCCCUAAAAACACUGUUUGCAGAAUUUUUAUGGAACCACCCCAGUUUCCUGAUGGCUCAGGUCAAUGGGAACAACACAAAGCAUCUCUCAGCUAUACUGCAGGAGGACUUUGAGCCUGCCACGCUGAGUCUUUGCUUGCAGUUCAGGACCAAGAGCUAAAAACGCAUCUUAUGGUGAAACAAGGGAUUAGCUAAUCUUCCAGGCUAAUGGAGGGUCAGCUAAAAAUGUUUCCUGUGUGUAUUGUGAAACCCUGAGAUGACAGAGAAGUUCCUCCCGCUGCUCUCUGAAUUUCCCCUCCCCCAUGACUUCCUUUGGUCACACAGGCCAUUAUCUGAAGCAAACUGGCCAGAGCAUGAUGUCGUAACUUUCCUUGGGUCAUGCUUCCAAAUUAAAUCUGCUUGAAAAAGAAGACUAGAAAACGUUUAAAUCUUGCUUUGAGUCCUAGAGGAGUUUGCUAAUUUCUCUUCAUCUGUUGGCAAGUCUGAUUUUUUUUUAACAAACUCCUGCUCCGAAUACUUUGGAGAUAAAGACAAAAGCAAAACACGCUAGAAAGUGGGCGCCUCAGGAAGAAGAGCCCAGACACCUGUGCUUAGAUAAAAAUGCCCUGACAGAGCACAGGCUGCCACCCGUGAGUAUCACCCAGGCAGCCAAGACCAAGCAUCGACUUUGAUGAGUAAAUGUUAAUUGCAUUGCCUUUGACUCAUACUGUGUGCACUGAAAAUUCUCUUGGGCCUUACUUGCAUGAGGGUUUCUUUUUUCUUUAUUUCUUUUUUUUUUUUAAGGGUAAAGGCAUGGGAAUUUCCCAACCACAAUGUUCCACUUUAUUUGAUAUCUUCUUCUUUCUCUUCUCAGUUUCUUUUCACUGCAGACCAGAGUAAAGGCAAAUGCGUGUUAUUUGGUAGCCGAUAGGCACCAAGGAAAAACUGACUAGCACCUUGCACAGCAAAGUAUGAAUCUGUAACCACAAACUCUCACAUUUACAUGUUACUGCCUAGCUAGUGGCUAGGCCUCAAACAUCUGCUCUCUUGUAACUGUGUUUUAUUAUUGUUUAAGCAGGGCCAUAAGAUUUCUUGCAUAAAAGAGUAGAUGAUUGAGUGUCUUCCAAUGAUAAAUUGCUGCUUUUGCCUGACCUCUUUCUUUAUUUCUUCAAUAAUAAAUCUAUUGUCAUGCAUUUAAUUACGGAAGACUGAACCACCCAAAAACUAGGGCUGGAAAUACACUCACCCUUUCCAACAGCAUGAGGUUAUUUCUCAUUAGUUUUAUUAGUGCCAUGAAAAUUCCAAAAUGAAACCCAACAAGAAUAAUAUUUUAAAUUGGAUCACAUUACCAGCUCAGAACUCUCCACAUACAUUGUUAAUUCCCUCCCAUGCUACACACAGCAAAGCACAUACGGCAUUUCAAAACUGAGAAAGUCAAAGCCUCACUGGAGAAGUCGCUAGCCACAGUUUCCUGCGUCCUGUUCACAGAGCUCAUUUGUUCAAUCAGAUUCCUCGCAGAACGCAUCCCUCACCAAGGUUCCUGCAAGAUUCCAUUCUGCUUAGUGUCUUUGUGAAAGCCCAUCCAUGACCAAGAAGCUGGAGGGCUGGGCUGGUUAACACACAAAUCAACCCCGGAAUUCCUGCCUCACAGCUGCCUGGAGAAGCAACAGUUAACUGAGCUCCGAGCAGAUCCUCAAGAGUAAAGGUUAAGAGGCAGGGUUUCAGUGAAAAUGUUUAGAAGCUGCAUUCCACACAGCUGGAAAUGAAGGGCUGAGCUAUUUUGUGGGGAAUUUGAAUUAUGUGUCCAUCCAAUCCAGAACAAUAAGUGGAUUUGUGUCCAGUAAUAAUAAUUCCUCAGUUAUAGAUACACUUGCAGUUUAUACAACAUUUCCCAGGCAUUCUCUCUCACUGAGCCUCAAAUACCUCUGUGCCAGCAGGGUUGGGUUGUUACUUUCCAUGCCCUUUGAGGGGUGACAACUCUUAAAGCUCCAGGAGGGGAAAUAGUUGGCCUUUUCUGAACCAGGGGUGUGCGACAAGCUGGAGCGCCCACCCGGGCCUCCCGAGGGUGCGUUCCGCUGCGCAGGCUGCCUCUGCCCUCCUUGAUUGCAGAAUCCACCCACUUAGCCAACAUUCCACUUUGCCCAGCCGGAGGGCUUCAGUCAUCUCAUAGCAAACGUUUCUCGGUCCCUUUGCAUCAUACUGAAACACAGAAGACAAAUGCCCAUCAUCAAGAAAGUUGUGGCCAGGAUGAACUAUGUGUCCUCCCCCCAAGCCCACACUCUAUUCUCUUGCCAUGUUUUUUUUUUUCCAUUGCUUUUGUAAUUCAAGCAUAUUAGAAAUUAGAGGAGAACUGAAACUAGGUAUAUGGUGACCAGAAUGUGGAAGGUGGAAUUCAUCUUGUUUCCAGGUUUUUUGAGUGGAAGUUCUGAAAGCAAGAGCAGUUGUGUCGCUGUGUUCUGUGCAGUGGCAUUUUAUUUUCCUGAAAACAUUUGUCCUUGCUACAAGUGGAUUAGAGGUUAGAAUGCAGGAUUGGCAGGCAGGAUUUGUGGUUUCUAUUAUUAGCCCUGCCACAGUUUUAUCUCACAAGGGUGAGCCCUGAGCCGUGGGGUUUAUUGGAGACGGAACUUGAUUGGGACUGGCCUUCCCCUGAAUGAGGGAUGGUGAACACCACAGCUGAGCAUCCGCCGAGGGUCAGGGUCCAGGGUACAGUGCGAGAGCCCCUCCGUCACUGACUGGAGGAGUUAGAGGACUCAAUCUUCGGCAGGCAGAAUUGCAGAA
Oryctolagus cuniculus (rabbit) is the source of this 5029-nucleotide long non-coding RNA. The record is from Ensembl. Lineage: Eukaryota; Metazoa; Chordata; Mammalia; Lagomorpha; Leporidae.